RNAcentral lists this transfer RNA (72 nucleotides) under Sphaerodactylus townsendi. RNAcentral describes it as "tRNA-Ala". The record is from RNAcentral. Lineage: Eukaryota; Metazoa; Chordata; Lepidosauria; Squamata; Sphaerodactylidae.
GGGGUUGUGGCUCGGUGGAAGAGGUUUUGCUUCGCACGCGGAUGGUCCCAAGUUCGAGCCCCGGGGUCUCCG